GGAGCGGAGUAGCGGAGUGGCCCCCGGGAAGGAUGCCUUGGCCGGCUGCGGGUGCCCUGGGUGGGGCUGCGCGUCUAUGUGGCGACCUCAUCGAGACCAAGAAGCCGGCGUCGGUGAUGCUGCUGCACAUCGAUGACCUCCUCCCUCUCAUGCAUGCCCGCCGUCGUGCACCGUGACAGUCGAUGCAGGGAGAGGAGGACGACCCCAGCCAUGGAGCAGCAAGAACUCAAGUUUAAGGUCAAAGUGAUGGUCAUGGGUGAAAUUAGGGACGAUGCCUAGCAGCAACAACUCACCAACACCUGCUCCGACACCAUGGACCAACAGCAGCA
RNAcentral lists this ribosomal RNA (329 nucleotides) under Triticum aestivum (bread wheat). Its description in RNAcentral is "partial small subunit ribosomal RNA". The record is from RNAcentral. Lineage: Eukaryota; Viridiplantae; Streptophyta; Magnoliopsida; Poales; Poaceae.